ACCCAGCAGGCCCUGGCCAGGAAGACCGAGCCCGUCCCCAAGCGCGCACGUCAGCAAUGACGCCAGCCCUUGAUCCCACCCGUCAUUGAACCAUACCCCCUCUCCCGCUGACGCCCGGACCGGCGUGUCAUCCCCGACCCCGAGCCGGUGUCCACCUCCAUGGCGGAGUCCGGCCCGAGCACCGCCUCGCCGUGUAGCCCCGCGCGGCCUCUCGAUCCCUGCAUGAAUGGAGGCGCUCCACCGCACCUCGACCCGAGUUCGCAGUCCUCGAAACCACUCGAAUCCGAGCUCCAAUUUCUUGCGGUGCCGCCGCCGCCGCCGCCACAGCUCCAGUCGACGCCAGAGACCACCACCGCCGUCUCCGAGGAGAGCAACGGAACUGCCGAGUCAAGCCGAGCCUCCCGAAUUCGAGUUCGAGUACUCCCUGGCGCCGCUAAAGCUCCGACAGAGCCCAACCGACGCCAGAGAACACCACCGACGUCUCCCAGGAAAGAAACGGAACCGCCGACUCAAGGCAAGUCUCCUGGACGCCUUCCCGAGGAGCAAGGAUCACCGGAGCCAGCUCAGCGAUAAGCCCCAAAGCCGCCGGCGCCGCCUGAACGCAUCUGAACCAAUAGAUCAAAACGUUCCACAUAUAUGUUGUUGAGAAAGUUGCACAGCAUCUUGGUAUGGAUGAUCCUUCAAAACUUCGCCUUACAAAGCACAUCCCGCAUUUACAGCAACCAGAUGUCUGACAUUUUUUAUUAUGAGACACUGACAUUCCUUUGCAGAACUGCAAGGUCCGAUAACAUUGAGUUGCUUUUCACCAAGCUACACACAAUGAGGUUGAGCUAUCACAAAGUGAUGCUGGACUUAGCUAUUUCAGGUCAACAAUAACAAGAUAUCGAAGGUGUACCAGCCAACUGAGAAAAUAGAUGCAGUUCAUGAUCCAAACCUCUUCAUGUUGAGGAGAAAAUAAUCAUCGGGUUUUCAAGUGUUAGCAUCGUGUGUAAGCCCAGCAUCAUUUCUAAGUAUAUGGCAUCCACGAAUUUCCCGAUAGUUUGUUCUGCACCAUGCUGCCUCAUGUAGGAUUUUGGCGCUCGUGAUCUACCUUAGGCAAUGUGUGAUGCCAUUUGCAACCUUCUUGUUGAGCAAGCUGAAACAGGAGUAACUCCAUUAAUCAUUCUGUAGCUGCAGGAGUGGGCGAUACUCAGCUGCGGACAGGCGCUGAUGACGGUGGCCGAGCUAGACUCCGUCAGGGACAGGGCACGCAUGUAUGUCGAGGCGCUCCAGGGCAGCGUGUGGAGCAGUUGUCUCUGGUCUCAUUUGAGUUUUGCUUCUGAGCUAUUAUCGAUUUCCCAUUUCUUUCGUCUGCACUAGAAGAUUGACCAUGUUCGAGGCUGUUAAGCACAGCGAUGUCCUGAUGGAGUCGUUAGAUUGUCCGAUGACCAAACCAGUUGCCGAGCAAACAUUGUCGCCGAUGCAGGAGCUGAACCCGAAGGGUAGAUCUGUGAGGCGCAGGGGGCAGCGGCUGCGGAGGGAGGAGGUUCACCAUGGGCAUCCAAGUAGUCGAUUGGUGAGAUGAAUCCUGAACCCCCUGGCUGGACCAAAGAUGAUGACUUGGAAACGAAACAGGUUGCAAGUUCAUCUGUAUCACCCAAAUUAAGAGAGGCAAUUAAUGUUUGCAAGAAAAAGAAAAGUUUGCAAGGAAAGAGAAGACAAUGGAACAUCAGGCCAUUUCUGUGAAAGAAUGCAAGUUUAAAGAGAUUAAUGAACUGAAAGCCCAAACGAACCAAGGGUACUCUAAUAUGGCUCGAAGGCUGACACCAGUGAAACACAGCCAUGGCUCGGGGCGUCGAUGUCCAUGCCGGUCCGUGGAUCGGGAAACUUGCUUUCCGUGAAUUGCGACAGCAACCGAGUUAAUGCAUGGAUGGGGUGCAGGAUACAAUUAUCUCCUACCUCAUGCGCGUGGAUCCUUCCAGGGAGAGCGGUGGCCUCGGCGGACAAACUUCUGUACGAAACAAGAAGGUAGGUGCUGAAGAUGGAGUUUUUGAUGCAGCCAAUUAGAUUGCUCGAAUAUAACCAAUUUCUAUGUGUUCCGAGUGAAUUUUUUUUGCGGGUGACCAAUUUCUAUGUGUUCCGAGUGAUUUUUUUUUUGCGGGUGACCAAUUUCUAUGUGUUCCGAGUGAUUUUGAUAGUGCACCCUGAUAUGGAUCUUACAUUUUGCCGAUUUCGUUACGCGGUACAUGCUGAAAGAGGUGACUGACAGCUCCGAUGGAGCCUCUGCACUACCCCACUCGUCGCACUGGUUAUGGAACAGCUGGCGCCCAUGAGGAAAGUGAGUGCAGACGGGGAGAUCUGUGCGGCGGAGGCGGCGACGAAUGCAUUCGCUGCAAGGAUCUGAGCAGCCGAUUAAGCAGGACGACCCGAAAGCUCCUGGGGUGGACGCGUAGAGUGGGGAUUGGUGCUGCCGCAUCAGGCAGGAUGUUGUGUCCUAAUCGAGCUAAUGCACUCGAGAAGGCGAUUUGCGGUUUUGCCGAAAAUCCUGGAGACAAUUUGAUUGUUUCAAAAUUGGUACAAGCUUUGAUCUGCUUGCCGCAAUCCGGGCAGGGAAUCACCGGCAACGGCAGAUGAGGAAGAGGUACACAUCGGGCAGUGGAAGAGCACCGUCGAUCUGGUUUCUCUUAAUGGACUGAAGAUGAGUGGCCGAUCUGGCCGGAGUUGGAUUUAGCCGGUGAGGAAGGAGGCGAGACGUGCACUAGAAGAUUAGUAACUGCAACGGUGACAAUAAACAAUCUUUUUUUGAGGGAGGUGACAAUAAAUAAUCAAAAUUGAGCAGUAUGACUUUUUUUUAGGAAUAUGACAAUAAAUAAAUGGGUUGGCAGUGUUGUAGUCCAAAAUCUCUCCGUUCAUGCCCAUUUAGUGACUGACUUCCGAACCGGUCCUAUAGUGCCUUACAGGACCUCCUAUGUGACGCAUUUUGUGUCAUACAGCAGCUCGACGCACAGGGUUGAUGCACAACUGGCUUGGCCCACCAACCCGCUUGUUGUUUCGUUUCCUUUCGUGCGCGACAAAAUAUAGAUGAAAAUCAACCCGAACAUUUUUUGAAAUCCUGAACAAAUUUUAUAAAUAACAUUUUUUGAAUUGUGAACAGAUUUUGAAAAUGAUAUUUGUUUUUGA
This is a non-coding RNA of Aegilops tauschii subsp. strangulata, 3159 nucleotides long. Lineage: Eukaryota; Viridiplantae; Streptophyta; Magnoliopsida; Poales; Poaceae. The record is from RefSeq and is a predicted model, not a curated record.